RNAcentral lists this small RNA (28 nucleotides) under Bombyx mori (domestic silkworm). RNAcentral's name for it is "ovarian small RNA-12854". Lineage: Eukaryota; Metazoa; Arthropoda; Insecta; Lepidoptera; Bombycidae. The record is from RNAcentral.
CAAGUGAUGCAUGACGUGGACCAAUUGC